GACGAACGCUGGCGGCGUGCUUAACACAUGCAAGUCGAACGGAAAGGCCCUGCUUUUGUGGGGUGCUCGAGUGGCGAACGGGUGAGUAACACGUGAGUAACCUGCCCUUGACUUUGGGAUAACUUCAGGAAACUGGGGCUAAUACCGGAUAGGAGCUCCUGCUGCAUGGUGGGGGUUGGAAAGUUUCGGCGGUUGGGGAUGGACUCGCGGCUUAUCAGCUUGUUGGUGGGGUAGUGGCUUACCAAGGCUUUGACGGGUAGCCGGCCUGAGAGGGUGACCGGCCACAUUGGGACUGGGAUACGGCCCAGACUCCUACGGGAGGCAGCAGUGGGGAAUAUUGCACAAUGGGCGGAAGCCUGAUGCAGCAACGCCGCGUGCGGGAUGACGGCCUUCGGGUUGUAAACCGCUUUCGCCUGUGACGAAGCGUGAGCGACGGUAAUGGGUAAAGAAGCACCGGCUAACUACGUG
Molecule: ribosomal RNA, 468 nt
Filed under: uncultured bacterium
Lineage: Bacteria
Description: partial 16S ribosomal RNA
Rfam family: Bacterial small subunit ribosomal RNA
Source: RNAcentral